RNAcentral lists this ribosomal RNA (368 nucleotides) under Theileria capreoli. RNAcentral's name for it is "SSU rRNA". It matches the Rfam family "Eukaryotic small subunit ribosomal RNA", at positions 483 to 885 of the family's 1831-position model. The record is from RNAcentral. Lineage: Eukaryota; Apicomplexa; Aconoidasida; Piroplasmida; Theileriidae.
AUACGGGGCUUAUGUCUUGUAAUUGGAUGAUGGGAAUUUAAACCUCUUCCAGAGAAACAAUUGGAGGGCAAGUCUGGUGCCAGCAGCCGCGGUAAUUCCAGCUCCAAUAGCGUAUAUUAAAAUUGUUGCAGUUAAAAAGCUCGUAGUUGAAUUUCUGCUGCAUUGCAUUUUCUCCUAUACGAGUUUUUGCAUUGUGGCUUAUUUCGGUUAUAAAAUUUAUUUUUAUUUCCGGAUGUUUACUUUGAGAAAAUUAGAGUGCUCAAAGCAGGCUUUUGCCUUGAAUAGUUUAGCAUGGAAUAAUAAAGUAGGACUUUGGUUCUAUUUUGUUGGUUUUAGGUACCAAAGUAAUGGUUAAUAGGAACAGUUGG